Long non-coding RNA from Nomascus leucogenys (northern white-cheeked gibbon), 428 nucleotides. RefSeq lists it as uncharacterized. The transcript has 4 exons. The record is from RefSeq and is a predicted model, not a curated record. Lineage: Eukaryota; Metazoa; Chordata; Mammalia; Primates; Hylobatidae.
GCGGCCGAGUGCGGGACUGGGGCUCCCGGCUGUGGGUGUGGUACUGAGGCUCCAGUGGGAGCCGCCCGCCUAGAGGGAGUGGAGGGGGAGACAGGAGACAUCAAAAUAUGUAAGAUGAACGUUGGUUCCGUCGGGAAAGGCCGGACAACUCGAGGCAGGGAGGGGCUUCCAGGUCACAGUACCUGCUGCAAGAAGGGACAGACACUGCUGCAGAGAACUUGCCAUGGUGUUUCAUGCUGCGGCUGGUGGUUCCAGGCUGCAAGCUCCAUUCUAGAAAGGGCUGGCCCUGCUUCCUGCCUACGGGCUGUGGGUGUAUCAUCUGGAGCUGCAAAUGGGGUGAUGGGGCAUCAGUAGCCUUCUCACACCCAAGAACUUCCUGACACCCAGUGCCUCAUCUCCAGCCAACCUCUGGCGCCCCCAGAGAUCCU